UGGGCUGUCGUCCAAUGGUAGGACUCUGGAUUCUGGUUCCAGCUAUCGGGGUUCGAAUCCCUGCAGCCCA
RNAcentral lists this transfer RNA (70 nucleotides) under Candidatus Cloacimonadota bacterium. RNAcentral's name for it is "tRNA-Gln". It matches the Rfam family "tRNA". Rfam says of the family: Transfer RNA (tRNA) molecules are approximately 80 nucleotides in length. Lineage: Bacteria; Pseudomonadati; Candidatus Cloacimonadota. The record is from RNAcentral.